UACGAAGGGUGCAAGCGUUAAUCGGAAUUACUGGGCGUAAAGCGUGCGUAGGCGGUUGCUUAAGUCAGAUGUGAAAGCCCUGGGCUCAACCUGGGAAUGGCAUUUGAAACUGGGCAGCUAGGGUGUGAUAGAGGAUGGCGGAAUUCCCGGUGUAGCGGUGAAAUGCGUAGAGAUCGGGAGGAACAUCCGUGGCGAAGGCGGCCAUCUGGAUCAACACUGACGCUGAGGCACGAAAGCGUGGGGAGCAAACAGG
Molecule: ribosomal RNA, 253 nt
Filed under: uncultured bacterium
Lineage: Bacteria
Description: partial 16S ribosomal RNA
Rfam family: Bacterial small subunit ribosomal RNA
Source: RNAcentral